This 258-nucleotide ribosomal RNA is filed under the name Pelobates cultripes (western spadefoot toad). RNAcentral describes it as "SSU_rRNA_microsporidia". It matches the Rfam family "Eukaryotic small subunit ribosomal RNA", at positions 208 to 467 of the family's 1831-position model. Lineage: Eukaryota; Metazoa; Chordata; Amphibia; Anura; Pelobatidae. The record is from RNAcentral.
UGUUCUGCUUUUGCACCCUGCUGUAGUAGGAGGAGGUGGAUGUGGAGGAGGAUUUUGAGGAGUCUGUGACCAUGGCGGUGACAACGCAUUUGGAUGUCUGCCCUAUCAACUUUCGAUGUUACUUUCUGUGCCUACCAUGGUGAUCACGGGUAAUGGGGAAUUAGGGUUCGAUUCCGGAGAGGGAGCCUGAGAAAUGGCUACCACAUCCAAGGAAGGCAGCAGGCAUGCAAAUUACCCACUCUCGAUGCGGGGAGGUAG